RNAcentral lists this ribosomal RNA (441 nucleotides) under uncultured bacterium. Its description in RNAcentral is "partial 16S ribosomal RNA". It matches the Rfam family "Bacterial small subunit ribosomal RNA", at positions 338 to 795 of the family's 1533-position model. The record is from RNAcentral.
CCUACGGGAGGCAGCAGUGGGGAAUAUUGCGCAAUGGGGGAAACCCUUACGCCGCAACGCCGCGUGAGUGAAGACGUAUCUCGGUAUGGUAAGCUCUAUCAGCGGGGGAGAAGGAAGACGGUACCCGACUAAGAAGCCCCGGCUAACUACGUGCCAGCAGCCGCGGUAAUACGUAGGGGGCAAGCGUUAUCCGGAUUUACUGGGUGUAAAGGGAGCGUAGACGGCGUCGCAAGUCCGAAGGGAAAGCCCGUGGCGCAACCGCGGAACCGCUUUGGAAACUGCGUGGCUGGAGUGCUGGAGAGGUAAGCGGAAUUCCUGGUGUAGCGGUGAAAUGCGUAGAUAUCAGGAGGAACACCGGUGGCGAAGGCGGCUUACUGGACAGUGACUGACGUUGAGGCUCGAAAGCGUGGGGAGCGAACAGGAUUAGAUACCCCAGUAGUC